This 472-nucleotide ribosomal RNA is filed under the name uncultured bacterium. RNAcentral describes it as "bacterial SSU rRNA". It matches the Rfam family "Bacterial small subunit ribosomal RNA", at positions 355 to 825 of the family's 1533-position model. The record is from RNAcentral.
UGGGGAAUAUUGGACAAUGGGCGAAAGCCUGAUCCAGCCAUGCCGCGUGUGUGAAGAAGGUCUUCGGAUUGUAAAGCACUUUAAGUUGGGAGGAAGGGCAGUAACCUAAUACGUUGCUGUCUUGACGUUACCGACAGAAUAAGCACCGGCUAACUCUGUGCCAGCAGCCGCGGUAAUACAGAGGGUGCAAGCGUUAAUCGGAAUUACUGGGCGUAAAGCGCGCGUAGGUGGUUAGUUAAGUUGGAUGUGAAAUCCCCGGGCUCAACCUGGGAACUGCAUUCAAAACUGACUGACUAGAGUAUGGUAGAGGGUGGUGGAAUUUCCUGUGUAGCAGUGAAAUGCGUUGAUAUCAUGAGGAACACCAAAGGCGAAGGCAUGUAAUUGGCACUCUCCUGACACUGAGCUGCGAAAGCGUGGGUAGCGAAUGGGAUUAGAUACCCCUGUAGUCCCUGAGCGGGCUGGCAAGGCGCAU